CAGUAGCCGCGGUAAUACAGAGGGUCCGAGCGUUAAUCGGAUUUACUGGGCGUAAAGCGUGCGUAGGCGGCUUCUUAAGUCGGAUGUGAAAUCCCUGAGCUUAACUUAGGAAUUGCAUUCGAUACUGGGAAGCUAGAGUAUGUGAGAGGAUGGUAGAAUUCCAGGUGUAGCGGUGAAAUGCGUAGAGAUCUGGAGGAAUACCGAUGGCGAAGGCAGCCAUCUGGCCUAAUACUGACGCUGAGGUACGAAAGCAUGGGGAGCAAACAGGAUUAGAUACCCCGGUAGUCCCUGUCUCUUAUAC
This 301-nucleotide ribosomal RNA is filed under the name uncultured bacterium. RNAcentral describes it as "partial 16S ribosomal RNA". It matches the Rfam family "Bacterial small subunit ribosomal RNA", at positions 509 to 807 of the family's 1533-position model. The record is from RNAcentral.